CUAUCCUGAAUGUGUUGUUGCUUCCCAGAAAUGUUGUGAUCAGGGAGGUGCAGGAUGUGAGGAAGACAAGGAAUGGAUACAAAGAGACCUUGAUUGAAACAACUCCUCACUGCAAUCUAACCCCGAACAAAACAUACAUCCUCUCCACAAAUAUUACACAUGGAUAUAGGAUCAACCCAACAACAGCAGAAUUUGUGGUUUUCCAGUCCGAUGAAAACUACU
Molecule: long non-coding RNA, 222 nt
Organism: Coregonus clupeaformis (lake whitefish)
Lineage: Eukaryota; Metazoa; Chordata; Actinopteri; Salmoniformes; Salmonidae
Exons: 3
Source: RefSeq, a predicted model, not a curated record